UUGGAGGGCAAGUCUGGUGCCAGCAGCCGCGGUAAUUCCAGCUCCAAUAGCGUAUAUUAAAGUUGUUGCAGUUAAAAAGCUCGUAGUUGAAUUUCGGGGUUAGUAGGUUGGUCAUGCCUCUGGUAUGUACUGGUCUCACUGAUUCCUCCUUCCUGAUGAGCCGCAAUGCCAUUAAUUUGGUGUUGCGGGGAAUUUGGACUGUUACUUUGAAAAAAUUAGAGUGUUUAAAGCAAGCUAACGCUUGAAUACAUUAGCAUGGAAUAAUGAAAUAGGACGUUCGAUCCUAUUUUGUUGGUUUCUAGGAUUGACGUAAUGAUUAAUAGGGAUAGUUGGGGGCAUUAGUAUUCAAUUGUCAGAGGUGAAAUUCUUGGAUUUAUUGAAGACUAACUACUGCGAAAGCAUUUGCCAAGGAUGUUUUCAUUAAUCAAGAACGAAAGUUAGGGAAUCGAAGACGAUCAGAUACCGUCGUAGUCUUAACCAUAAACUAUGCCGACGAGGGAUCGGAUGAUGUUAAUUUUUUAAUGACUCAUUCGGCGCCUUACGGGAAAC
This 549-nucleotide ribosomal RNA is filed under the name uncultured Glomeromycotina. Its description in RNAcentral is "SSU rRNA". It matches the Rfam family "Eukaryotic small subunit ribosomal RNA", at positions 548 to 1098 of the family's 1831-position model. Lineage: Eukaryota; Fungi; Glomeromycota. The record is from RNAcentral.